GCCCUCUUAGCUCAGUGGUAGAGCGUGUCACUCGUAUUGUAGAGCCCAUGUUUACAUGACAAGGUCAGUCGUUCAAGUCGGCUAGGGGGCA
RNAcentral lists this transfer RNA (91 nucleotides) under Armillaria gallica. It matches the Rfam family "tRNA". From Rfam's summary of the family: Transfer RNA (tRNA) molecules are approximately 80 nucleotides in length. The record is from Rfam by way of RNAcentral. Lineage: Eukaryota; Fungi; Basidiomycota; Agaricomycetes; Agaricales; Physalacriaceae.